Numida meleagris (helmeted guineafowl) is the source of this 1625-nucleotide long non-coding RNA. RefSeq lists it as uncharacterized. The record is from RefSeq and is a predicted model, not a curated record. NCBI's taxonomy places the organism in Eukaryota, Metazoa, Chordata, Aves, Galliformes, Numididae. The transcript has 5 exons.
GCUUGUCUUUGUGCAAAAACUAUCUGCAAUUUUCUGAUCUCAUCAGGUGACCUCAACGUCAGACCAAGGACACAUAAUGUCAUUUCUGCCUCUACCACAUGGGCCGCUGACCUCCCGCAUCCACCAGCCUUCUUAGGGCUUCCCCACCUUCAGGGCCCUGUAGCAGGAGGAGCUAUCUGAGAUGGAAGAUACGGAGAUGAGCUUCUCAGGCUGCCCAGACCAAGAAAUCUUGCAGGAGUGCCACAGCAAGCUGGACUCAAGCUGCUGCAGGGCUUAUUCCGGCUUGGCCUAUGCUCCCCCUGCCUGCAGGCCCAGGGCCUACUAUGAAGCUUAGGCCGCUCGUGGCAGGCCCGGGCUUCACAAUUCUUAGUUCAGGGCUUGAGAUGGCCAUCAGGGAACAGCAGGGACAGGCAUGAGGCAGGAACUGAGAGUGCCUGUGCUGACCUGUUGCACGUGAGUGAGGUGAUAGGGCUGAGUGGCCACAGCAGCAGGUUCUAACAGCCCUGUGGUCAUUCAGAGUGGCAGGUCAUGGCCGAGAUCAAUGCAGGAAGGACAGACAGCAUGUCAGGAGCAGCAGGGACUGAGCACAAGCCAUGGCAUAGCAAUCAGCUGUGGCUUGGGGACUCAGGCCUGAGUCAAAGCAGGGCUAUUGGCAGAUAGAACGCAGCCCAGGUGAGACUUGCUAGGGCAAGCAAGCUCCAUUAAUGCUGCCAGGGCCCUGCUAAUUGCUUGAUCCCACCUGCGGAGAAGUGGAGGUGUAACUCCCAAGUAUAACUAGACUUCCAAUCAAUAUGUAUUCUCCCAGAAAAUUGUCAGGAGGAAUGAAGGAUGGAGUCCCAUGAGUAAGAAGUAGGGUGUCUUCGUGCCUCGGAGCUGCCUUGCUGCUUCAAAGACUGCAUACCGUCUGCUGCCCUGAAGGUGACUGCAUGCAGCUUGGUCGGGCUGGCGUCUCAUUAUCCCUCUGCUGCAGGCUUCCAGCAGCUCCCCAAGCAGGGAGUUUUGAAGUUGUACUCUCCUGGUAAAGAGGAUACCCAGCAGUCUUUACUCAGGUUUGCUCUCAAGACAGAGGCCUCACAUCUCGGUCCACCAGCCAGGAAGAUGUUGGCCUUCAGCUUUUUGGGCAACUUUUGACCCUACCUCUGCACUCUGGAUGGGUUUUGGAUGUCCCUUUGAAUGCACUGCCUUUCAGCACAGAGCCACCAGAAGCUAAGCAGGCCAGGAAGAGGCCCACGUAAAGCACUGCUCACUGGGACGCAUGGAGAAAUCAAGGCCUCCGGACACUGUGCCUCCACCUCGGCUCCUGAAGGCAGGGCAGCACCAAAACGAGAGCUUGUAUUCAUGCAGACCACAGCCAGCACAUCUGCAGAUGAGUGGGACAGUAUCUUUGAAAAGAAUAAGCUUUGGAAUUCAGGAAGUCUGUAUGAGAGGCCUGCGUUUCCGCUCCUCCCUGAAGGCAUCGUGGUUAGCAUCACAGCCUGCACGCUCACCAGGUUUCUUUGCAGCAUCAGACAUUCACAAGGAAGAACAUCUAGGUUUGCCCCAUUUCACUGUACUUGCUACCUGCCACAAAUAGAAAGAUGAAACGCUGCAGGAAAUAUCUAUAUUUUUAAAUCCUUUUGAUGUGC